Molecule: ribosomal RNA, 253 nt
Filed under: uncultured bacterium
Lineage: Bacteria
Description: partial 16S ribosomal RNA
Rfam family: Bacterial small subunit ribosomal RNA
Source: RNAcentral
UACGGAGGGGGCUAGCGUUAUUCGGAAUUACUGGGCGUAAAGCGUUCGUAGGCGGCUUUGUAAGUCAGCGGUGAAAGCCCACGACUCAAUCGUGGAACUGCAUUUGAGACUGCUACGCUUGAGGAUGGGAGAGGUUAGUGGAAUUCCGAGUGUAGAGGUGAAAUUCGUAGAUAUUCGGAAGAACACCAGUGGCGAAGGCGGCUAACUGGACCAUUCUUGACGCUGAGGAACGAAAGCGUGGGGAGCAAACAGG